GGCGGGAAGGGCGUGACACGGCCUGACACCCUCCCCAACAGUCUCCCAGUUCCCGCGCCCUCCCCGGUUCCACCCUCCUUCGCUCAUUCAUCCCUGUCCCAGCCUCAAGGGGCUUCGUCUCUCCUGGGGAAGGGGCUGUUCAGAGCUGGGAUUUCAGACCCCUUCGGCUGGGAGUUCCUCCCGCGGCCUCCAAGGGCGGCCAGGGCACGUCCUGAGGCCGCCCUCCCAUCCCAGCGGACAUCUACGACAAAGUGUCGGGCGACAUGCAGAAGCAAGGCUGUGACUGUGAGUGUCUGGGCGGCGGGCGCAUCUCCCACCAGAGUCAGGACAAGAAGAUUCACGUGUACGGCUAUUCCAUGGCCUAUGGUCCUGCCCAGCACGCCAUUUCAACUGAGAAAAUCAAAGCCAAGUACCCCGACUACGAGGUCACCUGGGCUAACGAUGGCUACUGAGCACUCCCAGCCCGGGGCCUGCUGCCUCCAGCAGCCACUUCAGAGCCCCCGCCUUUGCCUGCACUCCUCUUGCAGGGCUGGCCCUGCCUGCUCCUGCGGCAGCCUCUGGUGACGUGCUGUCCACCAGGCCUUGGAGACAGGCUAGCCUGGCCACAGAAUUAAACGUGUUGCCACA
This 627-nucleotide small RNA is filed under the name Pan troglodytes (chimpanzee). Its description in RNAcentral is "processed transcript". Lineage: Eukaryota; Metazoa; Chordata; Mammalia; Primates; Hominidae. The record is from RNAcentral.